This 353-nucleotide RNase P RNA is filed under the name Methylotenera sp. RNAcentral's name for it is "RNase P RNA component class A". It matches the Rfam family "Bacterial RNase P class A". From Rfam's summary of the family: Ribonuclease P (RNase P) is a ubiquitous endoribonuclease, found in archaea, bacteria and eukarya as well as chloroplasts and mitochondria. Its best characterised activity is the generation of mature 5'-ends of tRNAs by cleaving the 5'-leader elements of precursor-tRNAs. The record is from RNAcentral. Lineage: Bacteria; Pseudomonadati; Pseudomonadota; Betaproteobacteria; Nitrosomonadales; Methylophilaceae.
GAAGCUGGCUAGACAGUCGCCGUCCGCGCAAGUGGAGGGAGGAAAGUCCGGGCUGCGUAGAGCGGGAUGACGGCUAACGGCCGUACGCUGAAAUUUUUGUUAGUGAAAGCUAGCAAGAUAUAAAGCGCGGAAUAGGGCCACAGAGACGAGCGUAUUAAGUUACGGUGAAACGCGGUAACCUCCAUCUGCAGCAAGACCAAAUAGGCUGGCAUUUUUACGCAAGUAAAUAAGGCGUGGCUCGCGCUGCCAGCGGGUAGGUUGCUUGAGCGCACGAGUAAUUGUGCGCCUAGAUGAAUGACUGUCAGCCUUAGCAAUAAGGCCUACAGAACCCGGCUUAUCGGCCAGCUUCAAUU